AAUCGUUCGAUCACCAAUAUCUCAUCAUAACAACAUUGAAGAAAUUAUGCAAAAAAUAUCAUCUCAUCCUUGUGAAAAACAAUGUUAUGUAAUGUCAUCCAUGUAACCAUAAUGAGCCUAACAACACCUCCGUAAGAAUACUCCAUAUCUCAACAAGAUGUUAUCUGUAAGAAAAUCAGAAUAAAAGAAUAAUUAAGAUAUAAUAUAGCAAUAUUUUUUAGAGUAUCUAAACAUAUGGAUUAGUACACACACAAUUCAUAGUUCGACAUAUAAUGUUUUUGGCAGACAAGGAGAUGACACACAUCAAACACAAAUAUAUUACACGCAAUCCAAGGAAAAAGUUAGUAAUAUUUUUAGCAUAAUUUACUUUAUUUGUGCAGCUAAGAAAAAACCUGAAAAUACAACAUAGACCAUCUCAACCUUGUUUCAAAAUGGAAUAACAACAUAGUAAUGAUCCAAAAACCAAUACUAACCCAUUUAAUUAGUAUCUAAUCAUAUAUAUCCCAAGUAUUAAUUAUAUUCUACUGGUCACAAGAAAUUUGGGUUUUGAUCUGGUCAAGGCUGGAUAUUACUUCCAAUGGUGCACAGUUGAAACAGUACUAGAAUAUUUUUGAUCUUGCACAGGGGCUGUCAGACUGCUCAGGUAAUCUUUGUGCAGUGAUAUACUGUUGUUAGCUAGUUAGGGCUCUAUUAGAUUGAUAUUAAUUGUAUGGUGUGGUGUUGGUCCUAAAAGCUCCAGGACAGCAGAUCCAUAGUUUCACACUGUAAGGGUACUACAACUUGUAUAUGGGUUUUCUUUUGGUUGUGUUUUUACUCUCUAAAACCGCUGAAAUAAGAUGAGCAAGAAGGCAAUUUUAGGGAGGAAACUUUGUAAUUGCUCAGCUCAAACAAACAAUUUGAUAGAGUAAUGAAACAAAUUGAUUUUAUACAAAAAAAUUAUAUUCUACUAAUCAGCAAAGUAAAGCUUUCAUUGGUUACACAUUGGUCAAUAAGUAGUACUCGUCAACAUUAUAAGUGAUGAUGUUAUUGGUAUAAUGUAUACGUAAUAUUAAUCAACAUACCUUUAACAUUAUAGAAAUCGUUCAACGUAACCGAUAAACUCAAGACGAACUUCAUUCAGUUCAGCUUUGGUGUAUGUUGCCUUCAUUUUUAGCUCCGUCAUCUAAACAUGUCAAUGGGAAAGAAAAUGAACAAUAGUUUAAUUUAAACCUAGAAAUAUAUGGAACAAAAAAAAUGAGAAAAUAUUAAUCACCUUCUCCUCUAGGGAUUUAGAAGGAUCUUUCAUGAAAUGUCACAUGAACCGCAUUACAAAAUAUCCACAUUCAAAAUCCCCAACUUGUUUCGGGCCCUACAUACAAAAAUGCCAAAAUAUCAUACACAUUCACCAAUACUAAUAGUAUUAAUAGGAAGUUGUUAAGAAUUAUUUAUUUACCUUAGGGUAAUGCCAUGUAAGUUGAAUUUUUUUUCCUCCAUUCACCAUAAGAUGUGAUGUAAUCCCUCUUCAUAAAAAAUAAUCAAGUCAUAAAACUUUACAAAACACACACACACACUUAGAAACACAUUUAUGAACUUACGUGUUCACAAGUGCC
RNAcentral lists this long non-coding RNA (1589 nucleotides) under Aquilegia coerulea. RNAcentral describes it as "long non-coding RNA (ACOE_LNC002011)". Lineage: Eukaryota; Viridiplantae; Streptophyta; Magnoliopsida; Ranunculales; Ranunculaceae. The record is from RNAcentral.